UACGGAGGGUGCAAGCGUUAUCCGGAUUUAUUGGGUUUAAAGGGUGCGCAGGCGGGAUGUUAAGUCGGUGGUGAAAUUUUGCAGCUCAACUGUAAAAGUGCCUUCGAUACUGGCUUUCUUGAGUGUGGAUGGAGUAGGCGGAAUUUGUGGUGUAGCGGUGAAAUGCAUAGAUAUCACGAGGAACUCCGAUUGCGCAGGCAGCUUACUAAACUACUACUGACACUCAGGCACGAAGGCGUGGGGAUCAAACAGGAUUAGAUA
RNAcentral lists this ribosomal RNA (261 nucleotides) under uncultured prokaryote. RNAcentral's name for it is "partial 16S ribosomal RNA". It matches the Rfam family "Bacterial small subunit ribosomal RNA", at positions 524 to 784 of the family's 1533-position model. The record is from RNAcentral.